This 492-nucleotide ribosomal RNA is filed under the name uncultured bacterium. Its description in RNAcentral is "partial 16S ribosomal RNA". It matches the Rfam family "Bacterial small subunit ribosomal RNA", at positions 29 to 507 of the family's 1533-position model. The record is from RNAcentral.
AGUGAACGCUGGCGGUAGGCCUAACACAUGCAAGUCGAACGGCAGCACAGUAAGAGCUUGCUCUUACGGGUGGCGAGUGGCGGACGGGUGAGGAAUACAUCGGAAUCUACUUUUUCGUGAGGGAUAACGUAGGGAAACUUACGCUAAUACCGCAUACGACCUACGGGUGAAAGCAGGGGAUCUUCGGACCUUGCGCGAUUGAAUGAGCCGAUGUCGGAUUAGCUAGUUGGCGGGGUAAAGGCCCACCAAGGCGACGAUCCGUAGCUGGUCUGAGAGGAUGAGCAGCCACACUGGAACUGAGACACGGUCCAGACUCCUACGGGAGGCAGCAGUGGGGAAUAUUGGACAAUGGGCGCAAGCCUGAUCCAGCCAUACCGCGUGGGUGAAGAAGGCCUUCGGGUUGUAAAGCCCUUUUGUUGGGAAAGAAAAGCAGCAGGUUAAUACCCCGCUGUUCUGACGGUACCCAAAGAAUAAGCACCGGCUAACUUCGUG